This 253-nucleotide ribosomal RNA is filed under the name uncultured prokaryote. RNAcentral's name for it is "partial 16S ribosomal RNA". It matches the Rfam family "Bacterial small subunit ribosomal RNA", at positions 524 to 776 of the family's 1533-position model. The record is from RNAcentral.
UACGUAGGAGGCAAGCGUUAUUCGGAUUUACUGGGCGUAAAGAGGGCGCAGGCGGUUUUUCAAGUUGGGUGUAAAAUCUCCCCGCUUAACGGGGAGGGAUCGCCCGAUACUGUUGAGCUAGAGGGCAGCAAAGGGAGGUGGAAUUCCCGGUGUAGUGGUGAAAUACGUAGAUAUCGGGAGGAACACCAGUGGCGAAGGCGGCCUCCUAGGCUGUUUCUGACGCUGAGGCCCGAAAGCGUGGGGAGCGAACAGG